AGUGAACGCUGGCGGUAGGCCUAACACAUGCCAGUCGAACGGCAGCACAGUAAGAGCUUGCUCUUACGGGUGGCGAGUGGCGGACGGGUGCGGAAUACAUCGGAAUCUACUUUUUCGUGGGGGAUAACGUAGGGAAACUUACGCUAAUACCGCAUACGACCUACGGGUGAAAGCAGGGGAUCUUCGGACCUUGCGCGAUUGAAUGAGCCGAUGUCGGAUUAGCUAGUUGGCGGGGUAAAGGCCCACCAAGGCGACGAUCCGUAGCUGGUCUGAGAGGAUGAUCAGCCACAAUGGAACUGAGAAACGGUCCAGACUCCUACGGGAGGCAGCAGUGGGGAAUAUUGGACAAUGGGCGCAAGCCUGAUCCAGCCAUACCGCGUGGGUGAAGAAGGUCUUCGGGUUGUAAAGCCCUUUUGUUGGGAAAGAAAAGCAGCAGGUUAAUACCCCGCUGUUCUGACGGUACCCAAAGAAUAAGCACCGGCUAACUUCGUG
This 492-nucleotide ribosomal RNA is filed under the name uncultured bacterium. Its description in RNAcentral is "partial 16S ribosomal RNA". It matches the Rfam family "Bacterial small subunit ribosomal RNA", at positions 29 to 507 of the family's 1533-position model. The record is from RNAcentral.